RNAcentral lists this long non-coding RNA (971 nucleotides) under Androctonus crassicauda. Lineage: Eukaryota; Metazoa; Arthropoda; Arachnida; Scorpiones; Buthidae. The record is from RNAcentral.
AUUGAUUUGAUGAUAUCAAAUUUUGAUUUUUAUCACAUUGAAAUGGUUCAUAUAAAAUAUUUAAUACAUAUUAAUUGCCAAAGAAUGCUAGUAGUGAUAAUAUAUAUAAUUGUUAAAGUUUCUAUAAACUUCCUCUUUCUUUCAGAAAACUUAAAUCAGUUCAAGCAUUUAUGAUAGGAUUCUUAUACAGAUGUUUUGUUGAACAAAUUAGUAAUGUUUUUGGUAUUUCAAUCCUAUUCAAUUGAUAUAAAUUUAAUUACUUUAAAUAUCAAUAGUAUUUAAUAUUUUUCUCUCACAAGAAAACAAAAUUACAAAGGAAAAGUUUUUGGUCAAAGAAAAAAGGAUUAAAAUAGAUUAUACAAGAACAUCUCUAAGAUGGCAAUUAUACUAAGAUUAACAUAAUAAAUAUUAAAAAGUCUUAAGAAAUAGCAUAUUCUGAGUACCAUGUCUUCUUGGUGUGGUGCAUGUUCCCAGAUAUCUGAUAGAGUACAGAGAUGUAUAUGAAAAGGAACAAGAAAAAAGCCUCUUGCAAGGUUGUCAUGCCAUCUGGAGGCACCAAAUCCAUGAUUAGGGCAAGUCUUCUGGAAGAAUAUCAUUUAUUAUUUUGCAAGUUUUCUUCUCAUUUGUAUUUCAAAUGCCUCUGUGGUUCUCACAUCAGAAAUAUUAGAAACAGAUCUAACCAUUCUAGCCUUUUACCAUAAUAUCUAUAGAUCAUAUUCAUAAUAUGUAGAAAUGAGGACUGGUAAGUCUUUCUUGAUGUAUAUCAUCUUUAUGCUCCUUAAAUCUCUCUCUCAAAUUCUUAGCUGUCUUCACUGUAUAAUUUUCUGCACAGACAAGUUAUAAACCUUUUCUUUGCAAUUUUGUUUCUUGUGAGAAUAAAUAUUUUUCUGCUGAUGAGCCUGUAUAUUUUUAAUAACUUAAGUUUAAGCAGAAAGUGUUUUCUCUUUUUAACUACUAUUGAUAUAUUAACC